This is a non-coding RNA of Rhodocyclales bacterium, 36 nucleotides long. The record is from Rfam. Lineage: Bacteria; Pseudomonadati; Pseudomonadota; Betaproteobacteria; Rhodocyclales.
GUUGUAGCUCCCUCUCUCACCCCGGAUAGCUACAAU